RNAcentral lists this non-coding RNA (32 nucleotides) under Homo sapiens (human). The record is from RNAcentral. Lineage: Eukaryota; Metazoa; Chordata; Mammalia; Primates; Hominidae.
UUGGUCUCUAAUAAUUUCAGACAAUGGUACCC